CGGACGGGUGAGUAAUGUCUGGGAAACUGCCUGAUGGAGGGGGAUAGCUACUGGAAACGGUAGCUAAUACCGCAUAACGUCGCAAGACCAAAGAGGGGGACCUUCGGGCCUCUUGCCAUCGGAUGUGCCCAGAUGGGAUUAGCUAGUAGGUGGGGUAACGGCUCACCUAGGCGACGAUCCCUAGCUGGUCUGAGAGGAUGACCAGCCACACUGGAACUGAGACACGGUCCAG
RNAcentral lists this ribosomal RNA (232 nucleotides) under uncultured bacterium. Its description in RNAcentral is "partial 16S ribosomal RNA". It matches the Rfam family "Bacterial small subunit ribosomal RNA", at positions 99 to 334 of the family's 1533-position model. The record is from RNAcentral.